Eurytemora carolleeae is the source of this 152-nucleotide long non-coding RNA. RefSeq lists it as uncharacterized. The transcript has 3 exons. The record is from RefSeq and is a predicted model, not a curated record. Lineage: Eukaryota; Metazoa; Arthropoda; Copepoda; Calanoida; Temoridae.
AAAAGAUAAAAUGAGAGUUUUAAACAUAGCCUUAGUUGGCGUUUUCCUUAGCAUUCAUGCUUCAUUUGUGAGCGGUACUUUUUCUACAAGUGCCAUGAUAGAUGGCAAUAAUGUAGCUGUGGAUUUUAAUGCUAAUCCAACAUUAGAAAGAA